RNAcentral lists this ribosomal RNA (506 nucleotides) under uncultured bacterium. Its description in RNAcentral is "partial 16S ribosomal RNA". It matches the Rfam family "Bacterial small subunit ribosomal RNA", at positions 28 to 505 of the family's 1533-position model. The record is from RNAcentral.
GACGAACGCUGGCGGCGUGCCUAAUACAUGCAAGUCGAACGCUUCUUUCCUCCCGAGUGCUUGCACUCAAUUGGAAAGAGGAGUGGCGGACGGGUGAGUAACACGUGGGUAACCUACCCAUCAGAGGGGGAUAACACUUGGAAACAGGUGCUAAUACCGCAUAACAGUUUAUGCCGCAUGGCAUAAGAGUGAAAGGCGCUUUCGGGUGUCGCUGAUGGAUGGACCCGCGGUGCAUUAGCUAGUUGGUGAGGUAACGGCUCACCAAGGCCACGAUGCAUAGCCGACCUGAGAGGGUGAUCGGCCACACUGGGACUGAGACACGGCCCAGACUCCUACGGGAGGCAGCAGUAGGGAAUCUUCGGCAAUGGACGAAAGUCUGACCGAGCAACGCCGCGUGAGUGAAGAAGGUUUUCGGAUCGUAAAACUCUGUUGUUAGAGAAGAACAAGGACGUUAGUAACUGAACGUCCCCUGACGGUAUCUAACCAGAAAGCCACGGCUAACUACG